Molecule: long non-coding RNA, 687 nt
Organism: Malania oleifera
Lineage: Eukaryota; Viridiplantae; Streptophyta; Magnoliopsida; Santalales; Ximeniaceae
Exons: 3
Source: RefSeq, a predicted model, not a curated record
AUGGGCCUGUCCAUUUUUAGAUCAACGGGCCGAAUCGUCACCCCCUUGUGAAGUUGAGACAUAAACCCUAGUCAGAUACCGAGGAGCUCCUCCGUUCCCUAAUUGAGAAGGUUGGAGAUGUUCAACCGAAGAAGGUUCCUGUCACUGCCCAUGGUCGUUGGAGCAGUCUUAAUUGGAGUUGUUAGUGGGAAGGCAAUAUUUGGACCUCCACUUGAUGAAUACUGGAAAAAGAAGCUUCAGGAAGACGCAGCUGCAAAGGAGACCGAUGCAGGCUCCAGUUAGCAAAUUUUCUGCUAAUUUGCCCACCAACACGUCAAGCAAGUCACCAUGCCAUAGCCAACUGGCAAAGGGAUGAGGAGAGACCAGCGUAGCCUACUCGCCAACAGUUGAGGGGAAUAGAAAGCGUGAGCCAAAGGAUGAUGUGUAGUAAUACACAGACAAGAGUGAAACAGAGAGCCUUUUGGGAUAAUGCAAAGCUUUGAUCAUCAUUCUUUUAGGGCACGUUUAUCUCACGGGAAUAAUUAAGUGGUACAAAAAUUAUGCAAAAAUAUUAUAAAUUUUUUAGAAAGUAUUCUUUUUAAAGUUUGUGAUAUUUCAUGCAAUUUGGAAUAGGAUAGAAAUAAAUAUUUUCAUGGUGAAAUUGAAGAACUGUGUUGUGUAUUAAUAACAUUUACAUUAUUGUCAACA